RNAcentral lists this transfer RNA (33 nucleotides) under Carpomya schineri. Its description in RNAcentral is "partial tRNA-Lys". Lineage: Eukaryota; Metazoa; Arthropoda; Insecta; Diptera; Tephritidae. The record is from RNAcentral.
CAUUAGAUGACUGAAAGCAAGUAAAUGGUCUCA